AUACGGAGGGUGCAAGCGUUAUACGGAUUUAUUGGGUUUAAAGGGUGCGCAGGCGGAUAAUUAAGUCAGUGGUGAAAUCCUCCCGCUCAACGGGAGAACUGCCAUUGAUACUGAUAAUCUGGAAUACGGUUGAAGUGGGCGGAAUGUAGCAUGUAGCGGUGAAAUGCAUAGAGAUGCUACAGAACACCGAUCGCGAAGGCAGCUCACUAAGCCGAUAUUGACGCUCAGGCACGAAAGCGUGGGUAGCGAACAGGAUUAGAAACCCCGGUAGUCC
This 274-nucleotide ribosomal RNA is filed under the name uncultured bacterium. RNAcentral describes it as "partial 16S ribosomal RNA". It matches the Rfam family "Bacterial small subunit ribosomal RNA", at positions 523 to 796 of the family's 1533-position model. The record is from RNAcentral.